GAACUGCGAAACGUGAUGUGACCUGCACUCUUCGUGAAUCAUCCAAUCUUUGAACGCAAUUUGCACCUUGUGGCUUUUGUCACAAGGUAUACUUGUUUGAGUAUCCGAAACCAACUCACCUCCCCCUCGGGGCGAGGUGGACUUGAGAUUCGAUGGGUGGCUGCUGCUGCCAAAGUCGUUUCUUUAAAUGUGCUUGGUCGCUUUGUGGAAGGUCUCCGUCUGGAGCCUGACAGACUAUUGGGAUAACAUCCUGACGAUCGUCUGUGGGUUCCUUUAUUGGACGUUGACUGACCUUGACCAACCAAGGAAGAUCUCGCCUUCUUUUAUUAGGAGGAGGGUGACUCCAUACAUGUGUAUGUGUGUGUAUCUAUACAUUAUAUGUGUGUGUCAAUGGAUCUCA
RNAcentral lists this unclassified non-coding RNA (400 nucleotides) under uncultured fungus. RNAcentral describes it as "sequence contains ITS1". The stretch from base 1 to 106 matches the Rfam family "5.8S ribosomal RNA", at positions 50 to 154 of the family's 154-position model. Lineage: Eukaryota; Fungi. The record is from RNAcentral.